GAUGAAGAACGUAGCGAAAUGCGAUAAGUAAUGCGAAUUGCAGAAUUCAGUGAGUCAUCGAAUCUUUGAACGCACAUCGCGCCCUGUGGUAUUCCGCAGGGCAUGCCUGUUCGAGCGUCAUCUAAACCUUCAAGCACUGCUUGGUGUUGGGUGCCUGUCCCGCCCCCGCGCGUGGACUCGCCUCAAAUCCAUUGGCGGCCCUCACGUCGGCUACGAGCGCAGCAGAAACGCGAACUUGUGGACCCGGCGGAGUGGCUCCCAGAAGCUACAUUCACCAUUUUGACCUCGGAUCAGGUAGGGAUACCCGCUGAACUUAAGCAUAUCAAUAAGCGGAGGA
RNAcentral lists this unclassified non-coding RNA (337 nucleotides) under soil metagenome. Its description in RNAcentral is "partial contains 5.8S ribosomal RNA, internal transcribed spacer 2, and large subunit ribosomal RNA". The stretch from base 1 to 120 matches the Rfam family "5.8S ribosomal RNA", at positions 35 to 154 of the family's 154-position model. The record is from RNAcentral.